UGGGGAAUUUUGCGCAAUGGGCUAACGCCUGACGCAGCAACGCCGCGUGGAGGAUGAAGGUCUUUGGAUUGUAAACUCCUGUCAGCAGGGAAAAAGGGACCGUAGCGAAUACCUACGGGACUUGAUUGUACCUGCAGAGGAAGCCCCGGCUAACUCUGUGCCAGCAGCCGCGGUAAUACAGAGGGGGCAAGCGUUAUUCGGAAUUAUUGGGCGUAAAGGGCGCGUAGGCGGCUUUGCAAGCGACGGGUGAAAUCCCUCGGCUUAACCGAGGAACUGCCUGUCGAACUGCAUGGCUCGAGACCAGGAGAGGUGAGUGGAAUUCCCAGUGUAGCGGUGAAAUGCGUAGAUAUUGGGAGGAACACCAGUGGCGAAGGCGGCUCACUGGACUGGUACUGACGCUGAGGCGCGAAAGCGUGGGGAGCAAACAGG
Molecule: ribosomal RNA, 429 nt
Filed under: uncultured bacterium
Lineage: Bacteria
Description: bacterial SSU rRNA
Rfam family: Bacterial small subunit ribosomal RNA
Source: RNAcentral